This is a non-coding RNA of Brassica napus (rape), 107 nucleotides long. NCBI's taxonomy places the organism in Eukaryota, Viridiplantae, Streptophyta, Magnoliopsida, Brassicales, Brassicaceae. The record is from Rfam.
AAUCCAUGAUGAGGGCAUUGAGCUUGGUAGCCUUUGAAUCUCUCCUAGGCUUCACUGAAUCCUUCCAAGCAUUUCUGUUCAAAGCUGGAGAUCUCAUUUCUCAGCUU